Long non-coding RNA from Gadus morhua (Atlantic cod), 1726 nucleotides. RefSeq lists it as uncharacterized. Lineage: Eukaryota; Metazoa; Chordata; Actinopteri; Gadiformes; Gadidae. The record is from RefSeq and is a predicted model, not a curated record. The transcript is spliced from 3 exons.
UUCACUGCUUUAGUUCGUAGACUCGGUCCGAUUCAGGGUGAAGGUGAGGCUUUGUUUCAUUUUCAUUUGGUUCGGUCAGCGUUCACACUGGACUCUGAUAGGCCGACCGUAUUGUAAACCAACGCCUCGAGGUCGGCGGGUCGUUCGUCUGUUGGACAGAACCUCCGAGGGAAACUCCCAACGCCUCCUAGUUGAGGACAACAGCAAUGGAGAAGCUUAGUGCGGUCUUGGGUUUUUUCUUCUGCUUUGAUCUACAAAUUAAAAAUCAUUUCGAGGAAAUUUCAUUUCAUUUCAACUGAAUAAUUUAAAAAGUAAAAAAAAAAAAGUCAUUGGUGACUCACACUUUCACCACAGAAUCCCUUUAUUUAAUCUUCAGACCAUAAAGGCAUAGGCCAUAUAGGCGGUUGCCUGGGCAUCCCACCCCUCAAAGGAAAAAAAAUAAUAAUAAGAAAAAUACAAUUCAUCGGGCGCCCUUCCCCAUGUUCUGCCGUGAGGUAACAAAUUAACAAAUAAAGAAAGAAAAAAAAAAAAGUAAUCCACUUGGCUGCCCUCAGAGGUUUCCUCUUGUAGCCUACUUUGUUCACUGAGAGUGGGGGGGUGGGUUACUGUUUGAUGCUGAAAAUCCCCAGAAUCAUUGAAGUGCAGAGACCCCAAACACCAGGACAGCGUCUGGACACCAAGAGUACAGAACUCUCUCAGAGCUGCUCCGAGAGAUCUGCUCUGACUGUAAAAUUGUACUUUGAAAGCUUUUUCAAAGUUGUUAGACAUUUUGUUACAUCUAUUAUUUUGUUGGUGAGAGCUGCUACCCUGGGACUGCGCCCAAAGUUGAACAUAUUUUAACUUUAUUGACGGUGAAAAAAGGCAGAAAGCGAGAGGCAGGCUUCAGGCUCACAAUUUAGAAGAUGGAGAAAAUAGGAGGAGGAGGAAAGGAAAGCCUUCAUGUGUGGUGGCUAGCUAGCUGCUCUGCAGCAGCAGCUACAGGUUUUGUUUGUGAUGUUAGGCUAACUUUAUCUACUCUAUAACCGUCCAGAUGGAGCUGCUGGAGAAGGGACAGCUCGUUACACAUCCACACCUCUCCUCUCCACGGAGCUUUCUGCAGGUCUAGAGACAUCCUUCCCUCCAGCUCCCUCCAGUGAAACACAGCCUGCAGAAACUACACCACUACUGUCCAGUGAAUCUCCUGCACCCACCGGGGACCAACAAGAACACACUUCAAGAACAACUACCCCUGAUGCAACUAUGGAUGGUCAUGAUGAUGACCAGAGAGUCUGGAUGCCCUCGCCUACCGGUCUGGUACUGGACAGCUAGACAUUGAGAUGGGUCCAGUCCAAACGCUGCCCAAAGAUCGUAACAGGAUUCUUUAAUAUCGCUGUUAGUCCCAAGUUUCCCAUCGACCGUGAUUCACUAUUGAAGGGGAAUGACAUUACAGGAGACAAAGUAACGCAGUUCGAGAAAUUCUCGAACAACAUGGAAGUGAAUCUGAUGGUUCAAACUCAGAAACUAGGAGAGGAAAUACACCAGUCUGAUUCCUUCCUGAUGCUAACUUUCACAGGAGAAGAGGCGUGGUGUGUUUAACAUCAUUAUUUGUGAAAUAAUUUGUGAAAUUUUGUGUUUUUGUUGUUUUUAAUGUGAAACUUUAAAUGUUUGUAUGCUGCCUUCUUGGCCAGGACUCUCUUGAAAAAGAGAUUUUGAAUCUCAAUGAGAAUAUUCCUGGAAAAAUAAAGGU